This 1258-nucleotide ribosomal RNA is filed under the name Salmonella enterica. Its description in RNAcentral is "partial 16S ribosomal RNA". The stretch from base 1 to 1001 matches the Rfam family "Bacterial small subunit ribosomal RNA". Lineage: Bacteria; Pseudomonadati; Pseudomonadota; Gammaproteobacteria; Enterobacterales; Enterobacteriaceae. The record is from RNAcentral.
UUUAAUAAACCGCCUAUCCUUAUUUAUUCGACAGUAACAAGGAGCAGCUUGCUCCUUAGAUAACGAGUGGCCGAUUGGUAAGUAUGUCUGGGAUCUGCCUGAUGGAGGGGCAUUCUUAAAGGAAACGAUGGCGAAUACCGCAUAACGUCACAUGACCAGAGAGGGGGACCUUCGGGCCUAUUGCAUUCCCAUGUGUCCAUAUGGGAUUAGCUUGUUGGUGAGGUAACGGCUCACCUAAGCGACGAUCCCUAGCUGGUCUGAGAGGAUGACCAGCCACACUGGUACUGAGACACGGUCCAUACUCCUACGGGAGGUAGCAGUGGGGAAUAUUGGACAAUGGGCGCUAGCCUGAUGCAGCCAUGCCGCGUGUAUGAUGAAGGCCUUCGGGUUGUAAAGUACUUUCAGCGGGGAGGAAGGUGUUGUGGUUAAUAACCGCAGCAAUUGACGUUACCCGCAGAAGAAGCACCGGCUAACUCCGUGCCAGCAGCCGCGGUAAUACGGAGGGUGCAAGCGUUAAUCGGAAUUACUGGGCGUAAAGCGCACGCAGGCGGUCUGUCAAGUCGGAUGUGAAAUCCCCGGGCUCAACCUGGGAACUGCAUUCGAAACUGGCAGGCUUGAGUCUUGGAGAGGGGGGUAGAAUUCCAGGUGUAGCGGUGAAAUGCGUAGAGAUCGGGAGGAAUACCGGUGGCGAACGCCGCCCCCUGGACAAAAACUGGAGCUCAGGUGCGUUAGCGUGGGGAGCAAUCUGGAUUAGAUACCCCUGGUUUUCCACGCCGUAAACCAUUCCUACUUGGAGGGUUGUGCCCCUUGAUGCGUGGCUUUCCGGACCUUACGCGUUUAAUUAUACCCGCCCUGGGGGAGUACGGCCGGCAAGGUUAAAAACUCAAAUGGAUUUGACGGGGGGCCCACCCCAUGCGGUGGUACCAUGUGGUUUUUAUUCCGAUGCAACGGCGAAAUACCCUUACCUGGGUCCUUGACAUCCACAGAAGUUUCCAAAAUUUAAAUAAUGGUGCCCUCCGGAAACAUUUAAGAAAAGGUGGCUGCUGGCUUGUCGUCCAACCUCCGGGUUGUGGAAUAGGUUCUGAGUUAAUCCCCCCUACCCGAACCGCCAACCCCUUUAUCCCUUUUGUUGCCAACCGAAUGUAUGUGCCGGGUAUACCUCAUAGGAAGACCUGCCCGCGAGUGUGUAACAUAACCUGGAUGAGGUAUGGGUGAUGAGGAAAAUAAUACGCUCUCCCCCAAGCUUUCUCUUGUCAUG